CAGUAGCCGCGGUAAUACGAAGGGUGCAAGCGUUAAUCGGAAUUACUGGCCGUAAAGCGUGCGUAGGCGGUUUGUUAAGUCUGUUGUGAAAUCCCCGGGCUCAACCUGGGAAUGGCAAUGGAUACUGGCAAGCUAGAGUGUGUCAGAGGAUGGUGGAAUUCCCGGUGUAGCGGUGAAAUGCGUAGAGAUCGGGAGGAACAUCAGUGGCGAAGGCGGCCAUCUGGGACAACACUGACGCUGAGGCACGAAAGCGUGGGGAGCAAACAGGAUUAGAUACCCGCGUAGUCCCUGUCUCUUAUAC
Molecule: ribosomal RNA, 301 nt
Filed under: uncultured bacterium
Lineage: Bacteria
Description: partial 16S ribosomal RNA
Rfam family: Bacterial small subunit ribosomal RNA
Source: RNAcentral